GACGAACGCUGGCGGCGUGCUUAACACAUGCAAGUCGAACGGAAAGGCCUCUUUCGGGGGUACUCGAGUGGCGAACGGGUGAGUAACACGUGAGUAACCUGCCCUUGACUUUGGGAUAACUUCAGGAAACUGGGGCUAAUACCGGAUAGGAGCUCCUGCUGCAUGGUGGGGGUUGGAAAGUUUCGGCGGUUGGGGAUGGACUCGCGGCUUAUCAGCUUGUUGGUGGGGUAGUGGCUUACCAAGGCUUUGACGGGUAGCCGGCCUGAGAGGGUGACCGGCCACAUUGGGACUGAGAUACGGCCCAGACUCCUACGGGAGGCAGCAGUGGGGAAUAUUGCACAAUGGGUGGAAGCCUGAUGCAGCAACGCCGUGUGCGGGAUGACGGCCUGGUGUAACG
RNAcentral lists this ribosomal RNA (397 nucleotides) under uncultured bacterium. Its description in RNAcentral is "bacterial SSU rRNA". It matches the Rfam family "Bacterial small subunit ribosomal RNA", at positions 28 to 430 of the family's 1533-position model. The record is from RNAcentral.